AAUCAACGCUGGCGGCGUGCCUCAGACAUGCAAGUCGAACGAUUAAAGCUCUCUUCGGAGAGUGUAUAGAGUGGCGCACGGGUGAGUAACACGUAAGUAAUCUACCUUUGAGUGGGGAAUAACCCGGGGAAACCCGAGCUAAUACCGCAUAAUGCAGCGGCACCGCAAGGUGACAGUUGUUAAAGGAGCAAUCCGCUUAAAGAGGAGCUUGCGGCAGAUUAGCUAGNGGUAAGGUAAUGGCUUACCAAGGCUUCGAUCUGUAUCCGGCCUGAGAGGGCGGUCGGACACACUGACACUGAAUAACGGGUCAGACUCCUACGGGAGGCAGCAGUCGGGAAUUUGGGCAAUGGGCGAAAGCCUGACCCAGCAACGCCGCGUGAAGGAUGAAGUAUUUCGGUAUGUAAACUUCGAAAGAAUGGGAAGAAUCAAUGACGGUACCAUUUAUAAGGUCCGG
Molecule: ribosomal RNA, 454 nt
Filed under: uncultured bacterium
Lineage: Bacteria
Description: bacterial SSU rRNA
Rfam family: Bacterial small subunit ribosomal RNA
Source: RNAcentral